This 22-nucleotide microRNA is filed under the name Daphnia pulex (common water flea). The record is from RNAcentral. RNAcentral also lists the same sequence under 1 other name. Lineage: Eukaryota; Metazoa; Arthropoda; Branchiopoda; Diplostraca; Daphniidae.
UGACUAGAUCCAUACUCAUCUA